RNAcentral lists this ribosomal RNA (301 nucleotides) under uncultured bacterium. Its description in RNAcentral is "partial 16S ribosomal RNA". It matches the Rfam family "Bacterial small subunit ribosomal RNA", at positions 509 to 809 of the family's 1533-position model. The record is from RNAcentral.
CAGCAGCCGCGGGAAUACGAAGGGUGCAAGCGUUAAUCGGAAUUACUGGGCGUAAAGCGCACGUAGGCGGCUUUGUAAGUUAGAGGUGAAAGCCCGGAGCCCAACUCCGGAAUUGCCUUUAAGACUGCAGAGCUAGCAGGUGAGAGAGGUGAGUGGAAUUCCGAGUGUAGAGGUGAAAUUCGUAGAUAUUCGGAAGAACACCAGUGGCGAAGGCGGCUCACUGGCUCAUACUGGACGCUGAGGUGCGAAAGCGUGGGGAGCAAACAGGAUUAGAUACCCCCGUAGUCCCUGUCUCUUAUAA